Molecule: unclassified non-coding RNA, 4958 nt
Filed under: Limulus polyphemus (Atlantic horseshoe crab)
Lineage: Eukaryota; Metazoa; Arthropoda; Merostomata; Xiphosura; Limulidae
Description: down syndrome cell adhesion molecule-like protein Dscam2, transcript variant X1
Source: RNAcentral
ACCGAUAAAACUUAAAUGGCAAAAACUGUAUUAAUAAGAUGGCAAACUGUAUGCCAACAUAUUCCUAAUCACUCUCCAUAAUUUUGAAUUUCAGAAGGAUAUGACCAAUUUACGUAUUAUAACUCUUUAAUUUGUUUCUUUGUCGAAAAAGGGGAAUUUAUGAGCAUCUUUUACUUCUGACAAAAUCACGAUGUCUUAGUAAAUGCAAUAAAGUUUAUUUUAAAAUCCAUGCUAAUCAUGAGUCCUGCUCAGAAAGGAAGAACAGGUAGACUGCCAGCUGUUGUGCUCAUAAUUGUUUUAAUGUUUGUAGAAGAAGGGUUACUUACAACUACUGAAACGCACGGACCAAAGUUUCUUGUGGAGCCUCUCCAGUUGAUAGAAUUUUCGAACGACAUAGGGGGUUCAGCACAUUGUGCUGCUACAGGUUAUCCACCUCCUCGUAUAUUGUGGAUAACAAACAAUGGAAAAGAAGUGACUCACGUUCCAGGUCUCCGACAUGUUCUGCCUAAUGGUACUUUACAUUUCCCGCCAUUUCCUCCAGAAUCCUACAGACAGGAUAUUCACGAUGCUUUAUAUCAGUGUACAGCAAGUAAUGUCAUCGGAUCGAUUCUUAGCGCAUCAGUUGAUAUAAGCGCUGUUGUCAAAAAGCCCUAUGAAGCACAGGUAUACGACGAGUUCGUGAUACUUGGAAAUACUGGAGUAUUCAAAUGUCACAUACCUAGCUUUGUAAAGGACUAUGUAACUGUUACUUCGUGGAUUAAGGACUCCAACACACGCAUUACUUCAACAGCGAAAGUUGGAGGAAGAUAUAGUACAUUCUCCAACGGAGUCCUUCACAUUCGUGAUGUUCGAGCUUCCGAUGCCUACAGUAGCUAUCAGUGUGUGACCACGAACAGAUUAACGGGAGAAUCGAAGACUAGUAAUUUGGUUGGUAGAUUAAUUCUUAAAGAACACCAGGCUAGUAUUACUCCUAGAAUUACAGACAGUACUCAUGUAGUUACUGCUAAAGAAGGAGAAUUUGUAGAGCUGCCUUGUGCCGCACAAGGUUUCCCUGUCCCAGAAUACAAAUGGUUUAAAAACUUCAAUGGAACGUAUAUUCCCGUAAUAGUUGGAAAUCACAUUCAACAAUUAAGUGGAUCCCUGAUUAUUGAUAGAGUGAUUCCUGCUGAUGCUGGGAAGUUUUUGUGUUCAGUGACCAGUGAUAUAGGUGAAACCGAACGUGAAACAACACUUGUUAUCACAGCACCACUUGGUGUCACAAUUUCACCAGAAAGUCAAACUGUUGAUGUUGGAGCAAAAGCAGCCUUUAACUGUUCAGUCACAGGUUAUCCAGUUACUAACAUCACCUGGUUGAAAAAUGGAGUAGUUAAUCAGAAGUGGUUUAUAAGUUCUUCAAAGUUUGUGCUCACAGUUCAGAAUAUUAGUAAAGAUGAUCAAGGAAUGUACCAGUGUUUUGCAGAAAACAGCAUAGGAAGUGUGCAGGCAUCUUCAGAGCUUAAAUUGGGAUAUGCUGUUCCAGAACUUGUUGAAACAUUUUCCAAGAAACUUUUACAACCAGGACUCUCUGUAUAUUUGAAAUGUGUAGCAAAAGGAACACCUAAACCCCAAAUAUCUUGGUGUCUAGAUAAAGCACCAGUCAUUCAAACUGGAAGAGUAACUGUUGCAGAUUUUGUUAAUUUGAAUGGAGGAAUUGUGAGUUUUGUCAACAUUUCAAGUGUCAGAGUUGAAGAUGGGGGAGUUUAUGAAUGUUUAGCACAAAGUGUAGCAGGAACAGCAACAUACAGCAAUAGAAUUGAUGUUUAUGGCUUGCCAUUUGUUCGUCCAUUAAAAAAUAUUACAGUUGUUGCUAAAGAAACAAUGAGAACUCACUGCCAUGUUAUUGGAUAUCCUAUUGAUUUCAUUCACUGGGAAAAAGACAGCCAGCGUUUACCUUUCAACCAUAGACAAAAAGUAUAUAAUAAUGGAACCUUGGAAAUUGGAAACCUUGAUGAAAAAGAAGAUGAAGGCACAUAUACUUGUGUUGCUCGGAAUAACCAAAGUCAAAGUGCAAGAGCUCACUUUUAUGUAGAUGUCAAAGUUCCACCUCUCAUUGGACGGUUUGAGUUUGAUAAGAAUUUGCAUGAAGGAAUGAGAACUCGAGUUUAUUGCAACAUAGCACAAGGAGAUCAACCAAUCACUAUUUACUGGACUAAAGAUGGGUAUCCUAUCUCAACUGAUUUGGGAAUAUCUGUUCGAGUGAUUGAUAACUUUUCUGUUGCCCUUGUUAUUAAUAAGCUUGAACCAACUCAUAAUGGUAACUAUACCUGUUUUGCCACCAAUGAAGCAGCAACUGUUCAGUAUACAGCUCAACUAGUAGUUAAUGUACCUCCUUAUUGGAUGAUUGAACCAACUAAUAAAUAUGUUAUACUAAAUGAGCAUGGAAACUUAGACUGUUUUGCCAUGGGAUAUCCAACUCCUCAGAUUACCUGGAAAAGAGAUAAAGUUGGCAGUGGAACUGAUUAUAAACAAAUUCUGAGUGGACCAGACUACCAGAUAUUUGAGAAUGGUACUUUAAGAAUUGCCAGAACAAAACUUCAGGAUCGGGGACAUUACCUCUGCCAAGCUAACAAUGGAAUUGGACCUGGGCUAAGCAAGGUUGUUCAUGUUACUGUUCAUGUUCCAGCACAUUUUGAGAUGAAAGAAAAGACAGUGACUGUGAUAAGAGGAGAGAAAGCUAUGCUGUUAUGUGAAGCUAUUGGAGAUAAACCUAUGGCCAUUGUUUGGAAACAGAAUGAUCAUCUUCUUAACCCAAUGGCAAAAGAGAGGUAUGCUCUGAAUGAGAAACUAACAAGAAAUGGGUUGGUGUCUGAAAUUACCAUUACUGAUGUGCAGAGAAGUGACACUGGAAGCUUUGUCUGCCUUGUAACAAAUGCUUUUGGCCAAGAUUAUAUGAAACUGCAGUUGAUUGUACAAGAGCCCCCCAGUUCUCCCCAGGAGAUCAGAGUUCUAGAAACAAGAAGUAGGUCAACGACAAUACAAUGGGACACACCUUAUGAUGGAAAUAGUCCUCUCCUAUUCUACAUCAUUAUGCUCAAAAAUGAAUCAGGGCAGGGGAAUGAACACUUGUCAAAUAUAACAGUAAAAGCCACUGAGAACAAAAUAGUAAUAACAGGUCUACAUCCCUCAUUUACUUACAAUAUUUAUGUUUUAUCACAAAAUGCACUUGGAAGCAGUGAACCAUCAAAUACCAUUAAUAUUACAACAGAAGAGGAAGUACCUGGUGGACCACCAACAUUAGUCAAAGCCAAAGCACUUAAUGCAUCAUCUGUUAAAGUAUCCUGGGAGCCUCCUCCUAAGAAUGUUCAGAAUGGUAAAAUUAAGGGAUACUACAUUGGAUACAAAGUGCAUAAUUCCACAGAAUUGUACCACUACAAAAACCUUGAGGUUCACUCAGAAGGUACAACAGAUUGUAUAUUGUCUAAACUACAGAAGUUUACAAGAUACAGUGUUCUUGUUCAAGCAUACAAUUCUAUGGGGGCAGGCCCUCGAUCAGAUGAAGUUUCAGUAUUAACUGAAGAAGAUGUUCCAGACCAACCUCCACAUAGUGUUACAUGUUCUACAUUGUCUUCUCAGACUUUACAUGUAGAAUGGAGAACUCCCCCUGUAAAAUCAAUUAAUGGAGUUUUAGUUGGAUUCCGUGUCAUUUACAGGCCGAUCAUUAAAUGGGCAGAGAAUUUAGAAAGUCACAAAGUUGAAAUUGAAGAUUUAUUCAUAAAUCUUGUUGGAUUGGAAAUGUUUACAAAUUAUAGCAUUCAAGUGGCAGCAUACACUAGAAUUGGAAAUGGUGUUUUUAGUGGUCCUGUGUAUUGUAGAACACAUGAAGGAGUUCCAGGAGAACCAGAAAACAUUAAGGUAUUCAUUAUGGGUCAAAAUGCUAUUCUGGUUAGUUGGAAACCACCUUUAAAACCAAAUGGUGAAAUUCUAAAGUAUACAGUUUACAUGAGCACAGAAUAUGAAGAAAGAAAGAAUAUAUCUAAAAUUGUUGUGCCUUCAAAUCAACUGACAUUUGAAGCAAGAAACCUUAUUCGUGGACAGUGUUAUAAAUUCUGGGUGACUGCUUCAACAAGCAAGGGAGAAGGGAAUUCUAGUCAAGUUAUUGAACACAUUCCAGAUAAUAAAGCCCCAGCAAAAAUAGCUUCUUUUGGUAGCCAUUUUGUAGUUCAACAACAACAAGAUAUAGAAUUAGCAUGCAGGGCAGUUGGUCUUCCAACUCCCUCUAGAAAAUGGAAAUUUAGAGGGAAGCUGGUAAACCAAAGUAAAAGAGUGGAGAUACUUCCUACUGGAACCCUGAGGAUUGAGAAAGUUCAGCCAGAAGACAGUGGAAAUUAUUCAUGUAGUGUAUGGAACAUGAAUGGAUUUGAUGAGAUAAUCUAUUUUGUAAAUGUAGAAAUGAACCGGAAACUACCAUUCCUGCCUCCUCCUCCAGUUCUCUAUAUUGACUCCACAACUACGAAAUCAGUUACAGUUACUUGGAGAAAUAUCAAUUUGAAAGAAAACCCAAUUAUUGGAUAUACACUAUAUUACAAAAAGAAUGGAAAUUGGCUACAUGAUAAUAUUCCAGGAAAUACAACCAGAUUUACUGUUAGUGGACUGGAUUGUGGUUCACACUAUGAGAUUUACAUGGUCAGCUUCAACAAAGUUGGUCAAAGUGAAGCUGGCAAUAUUCUUCCAGUUGGAACAAAAGGUGGAGGACAAUUGGUCUAAUGGACCAGCUACCCAAAUCAACACAUUUCUUGUGCUACUGUUUUGCUUUUGGGAGGAUACAAGCUCUAAUGUAGGAGCAUGAGACGUCUCCUGGUUUUUUGGAGGUGACUGCAGGAAUAGGAUCCACAUAGCUAUGGGAAUACAUUGUCUAUUAAUCUUAAUCUCUGUUCACAAAGCCUCACAUGUAAAUACAAAAAAUAGUAAUAACAGAAGAA